RNAcentral lists this ribosomal RNA (253 nucleotides) under uncultured bacterium. RNAcentral describes it as "partial 16S ribosomal RNA". It matches the Rfam family "Bacterial small subunit ribosomal RNA", at positions 524 to 776 of the family's 1533-position model. The record is from RNAcentral.
GACAGAGGUGCCGAGCGUUAGGCGGAAUCACUGGGCUUAAAGCGUGUGUAGGCGGAUCUGUAAGUACCUUGUGAAAUCCCACGGCUCAACCGUGGAACUGCUGGGUAUACUGGUUGUCUUGAGCCAGCUAGGGGCGAGCGGAACAGACGGUGGAGCGGUGAAAUGCGUAGAUAUCGUCUGGAACGCCGAAGGUGAAAACAGCUCGCUGGGGCUGCGCUGACGCUGAGACACGAAAGCCAGGGGAGCGAACGGG